GACGAACCGUGCAAACGUUAUUCGGAAUAACUGGGCUUAAAGCGCGCGUAGGCGGCGUCGCAAGUCGGUGGUGAAAUCCCAACGGCUCAACCGUGGAAUAGCCAUCGAUACUGCGAUGCUCGAGGGAGGUAGGGGCAUGUGGAACUUCCAGUGGAGCGGUGAAAUGUGUUGAGAUUGGAAGGAACGCCGGUGGCGAAAGCGACAUGCUGGAUCUCUUCUGACGCUGAGGCGCGAAAGCUAGGGUAGCGAACGGG
Molecule: ribosomal RNA, 254 nt
Filed under: uncultured bacterium
Lineage: Bacteria
Description: partial 16S ribosomal RNA
Rfam family: Bacterial small subunit ribosomal RNA
Source: RNAcentral